CUGCUGGCUGCCGUGAAGAGCUCGGGGAAUCAGACACAAAUCCUGCUGAAAUGGAUCUGGGGGUGUCUUAAGCCCCAGCACAAUUCCAAGCGUAGGAGCAGCAUCUCGCUGAGUUACCAAGGAAAUGCCAACACCCUGGGAAUCCGUGUGGCAGCGAGACAUCGCGGUGUGACACUCACGGGCCCUUUCGACAGCAGCUGCCGUUGUGCAGUGAAGAAAAUAGCAGCAGCCUUGGCACCCCGCUGCCAUGCCCUGCCUCCCGGCCUCACUGGCUGCUCAGGGAGGCUGCAGAGAUGCAGGGUUAUUUCCAUUUCUUUGAGCAGCUAUCGAAUGAGUCGGGUUUACCGUGCUGGGAAAGACCAUAAAUAAAACUGAG
Molecule: long non-coding RNA, 376 nt
Filed under: Gallus gallus (chicken)
Lineage: Eukaryota; Metazoa; Chordata; Aves; Galliformes; Phasianidae
Description: long non-coding RNA NONGGAT008266
Source: RNAcentral